AUGUGCUUAAUGAGUCUACUGUUAUCCUGUAAGGAAAAGAAAAAAAUGAUUUUGAUAGAUGAUGGCCUCGGUCAUAUCAUCAAAUCAAAUACAGAAAAUUCAGGAACAGACUGCAUGGUGUCUUCCAGUUUAGUUAUUCACAAAACUGAUUCUUCCAAAGUAAACGGAACAAGUGUGACUAAAAAUGUAAACUCAAACCAGAAGGUCACAACACAAACUGUGAUGCAUAAAGGACAGAAGGCUGUUUCACAGACUCCAUGGUUAGUUUACAACGACCAGAUGUUCAAACACUCAGCGUACAGGAAUUCCACAAGACGUACAUACAGAGAAAAUUUUCAGAAACUACUUGCUCUCCAAACCCGUGAUGAGCAACGUGGUAUUUACAAAGCGCACUGUUACACAGAUGAAGGACAACCUGCAGCCAGUGAUGAACUGGACGCAAUAUCCAUUCCAGAGGACGACUUUCAUCCAGAGAUGCUUAAAAAUCUGGACAGCAGGUUCAGUCGGCUAGCAACAAUCUCCAGACCUGACCUGAUGAGAAGGUGAACAUUAUCUCAGAACGUGUAGCCUAAAUAUAAAUAUUUAGGGGGGGGGGGAAGACUACAGUUCUAUAGUAUCAAUGAUGAUAAAUAGAACUCCGUUUGCAUUUCCUGAAUGCAAAAAUACAUGCUUGCAAAGCAACAACGGAAUAGUAUAAAUAGUUUAAGGUGAGCUCAGGUUUUUGGCUUUUGUUCUGUUUAUUUUCUUUCUGUAUUUUUUGCACUGUGUUCAUGUGGAAUAAUUUGCAGGCAUUUAAUAAAAAAAAAUAUAUAGUGUUGUAAUUAUUUAAU
This is a long non-coding RNA of Cyprinus carpio (common carp), 830 nucleotides long. The record is from Ensembl. NCBI's taxonomy places the organism in Eukaryota, Metazoa, Chordata, Actinopteri, Cypriniformes, Cyprinidae.